RNAcentral lists this ribosomal RNA (199 nucleotides) under uncultured bacterium. Its description in RNAcentral is "partial 16S ribosomal RNA". It matches the Rfam family "Bacterial small subunit ribosomal RNA", at positions 334 to 525 of the family's 1533-position model. The record is from RNAcentral.
UACUCCUACGGGAGGCAGCAGUGGGGAAUUUUGGACAAUGGGCGAAAGCCUGAUCCAGCCAUACCGCGUGCGGGAAGAAGGCCUUCGGGUUGUAAACCGCUUUUGUCAGGGAAGAAAUCUUCUGGGCUAAUACCUCGGGAGGAUGACGGUACCUGAAGAAUAAGCACCGGCUAACUACGUGCCAGCAGCCGCGGUAAUA